RNAcentral lists this transfer RNA (84 nucleotides) under Clostridiaceae bacterium. Its description in RNAcentral is "tRNA-Leu". It matches the Rfam family "tRNA". Rfam says of the family: Transfer RNA (tRNA) molecules are approximately 80 nucleotides in length. Their secondary structure includes four short double-helical elements and three loops (D, anti-codon, and T loops). Further hydrogen bonds mediate the characteristic L-shaped molecular structure. tRNAs have two regions of fundamental functional importance: the anti-codon, which is responsible for specific mRNA codon recognition, and the 3' end, to which the tRNAs corresponding amino acid is attached (by aminoacyl-tRNA synthetases). tRNAs cope with the degeneracy of the genetic code in two manners: having more than one tRNA (with a specific anti-codon) for a particular amino acid; and 'wobble' base-pairing, i.e. permitting non-standard base-pairing at the 3rd anti-codon position. The record is from RNAcentral. Lineage: Bacteria; Bacillati; Bacillota; Clostridia; Eubacteriales; Clostridiaceae.
GCGGUCGUGGCGGAACUGGCAGACGCGCACGCUUGAGGGGCGUGUGGUAGUACCGUGUGGGUUCGAUUCCCACCGACCGCACCA